UGGAAUCAUUCACGAAUGGGACGAAAUCUGACCGAGCAACGCCGCGUGAGUGGAUGACGGUUUUCGAAUUGUAAGCUCUGUUGUUGCCGAGAACAGGAAAAUGAGGGAAUGCUUUUUCUAUGACGGUAGCUGACCAGAAAGCCACGGCUAACUACGUGCCAGCAGCCGCGGUAAUACGUAAGUGGCAAGCGUUGUCCGGAUUUAUUGGGCGUAAAGGGAGCGCAGGCGGUUCGUUAAGUCUGAUGUGAAAGCCCUCGGCUCAACCGAGGAGGGGCAUUGGAAACUGGCGAACUUGAGUACAGAAGAGGAGAGUGGAAUUCCAUGUGUAGCGGUGAAAUGCGUAGAUAUAUGGAGGAACACCGGUGGCGAAGGCGACUCUCUGGUCUGUGACUGACGCUGAGGCUCGAAAGCGUGGGUAGCAAACAGGAUUAGAUACCCUGGUAGUCCACGCCGUAAACGCUGAGUGCUAAGUGUUGGAGGGUUUCCGCCCUUCAGUGCUGCAGUUAACGCAUUAAGCACUCCGCCUGGGGAGUACGACCGCAAGGUUGAAACUCAAAGGAAUUGACGGGGGCCCGCACAAGCGGUGGAGCAUGUGGUUUAAUUCGAAGCAACGCGAAGAACCUUACCAGGUCUUGACAUCCUUUGACCGCCCUAGAGAUAGGGUUUCCCCUUCGGGGGCAAAGAGACAGGUGGUGCAUGGUUGUCGUCAGCUCGUGUCGUGAGAUGUUGGGUUAAGUCCCGUAACGAGCGCAACCCUUAUGGCUAGUUGCCAGCAUUCAGUUGGGCACUCUAGUCAGACUGCCGGUGACAAACCGGAGAAGGUGGGGAUGACGUCAAAUCAUCAUGCCCCUUAUGACCUGGGCUACACACGUGCUACAAUGGGGAGUACAACGAGCGCGCGAACCCGCAAGGCCCACCGAAUCUCUGAAAGCUUCUCUCAUUCCGCAUUGCAGGCUGCAACUCGCCUGCAUGAAGCCAGAUCGCUAGUAAUCGCGGAUCAUCAUGCCGGCGUGAUCCGCUCCCGGUCCUUGUACACACCGCCCGUCACACCCACGAGCAGUCGUACACCCGUAGGUCGGUGAGCUACCGCAGGGAGCCUACCGCCUGAGGGUGGGACGAACCAAUUUGGGGUGCAAUCGUUUACAACAGGGUGUCACACACA
RNAcentral lists this ribosomal RNA (1162 nucleotides) under Tetragenococcus muriaticus. RNAcentral's name for it is "bacterial SSU rRNA". It matches the Rfam family "Bacterial small subunit ribosomal RNA", at positions 356 to 1508 of the family's 1533-position model. Lineage: Bacteria; Bacillati; Bacillota; Bacilli; Lactobacillales; Enterococcaceae. The record is from RNAcentral.